This 128-nucleotide small RNA is filed under the name Marmota monax (woodchuck). Lineage: Eukaryota; Metazoa; Chordata; Mammalia; Rodentia; Sciuridae. The record is from RNAcentral.
GCUGGGCAUGGUGGUGCAUUCCUGUAAUCCCAGCAGCUCAGGAGGCUGAGUCAGGAGGAGUAUCUCAAGUUCCCAGCCAGCCUCAGCAAUGGUGAGGCACUUAACAACUCAAUGAGACCCUGUCUCUA